GGGCCUGUAGCUCAACGGUAGAGCAUCAUCCUUGCAAGGUGGGGGUUUCGGGUUCAAAUCCCGACAGGUCCA
RNAcentral lists this transfer RNA (72 nucleotides) under Candidatus Woesearchaeota archaeon. RNAcentral describes it as "tRNA-Ala". It matches the Rfam family "tRNA". From Rfam's summary of the family: Transfer RNA (tRNA) molecules are approximately 80 nucleotides in length. Their secondary structure includes four short double-helical elements and three loops (D, anti-codon, and T loops). Further hydrogen bonds mediate the characteristic L-shaped molecular structure. tRNAs have two regions of fundamental functional importance: the anti-codon, which is responsible for specific mRNA codon recognition, and the 3' end, to which the tRNAs corresponding amino acid is attached (by aminoacyl-tRNA synthetases). tRNAs cope with the degeneracy of the genetic code in two manners: having more than one tRNA (with a specific anti-codon) for a particular amino acid; and 'wobble' base-pairing, i.e. permitting non-standard base-pairing at the 3rd anti-codon position. The record is from RNAcentral. Lineage: Archaea; Nanobdellati; Candidatus Woesearchaeota.